This 209-nucleotide ribosomal RNA is filed under the name uncultured eukaryote. RNAcentral's name for it is "partial 18S ribosomal RNA". It matches the Rfam family "Eukaryotic small subunit ribosomal RNA", at positions 1299 to 1458 of the family's 1831-position model. The record is from RNAcentral.
UGGUGGAGUGAUUUGUCUGGUUAAUUCCGUUAACGAGCGAGACCAAUACUUACUAAAUAAACCGCAGAACCGUCUAAUAUGCCGUGAAGGGAAGCCGGCAGUGUGGCCUAACCGCUGCGCUCUGACUUCUUGGAUGGGUUGAUGAGUUGUGCGCUGUUUUCUUAGGAGGACUGCUGCCUUCAAGGCAGAGGAAGUGAUUGGCAAUAACA